GCUCACCUUCGAUGGUCACUGGCCUCGCUGGAGAAGUGUGAUCUUCACGGAUGAAUCCCGGUUUCAACUGUACCGGGCAGAUAGCAUGUAUGGCGUCGUGUUGGCGAGCGAUUUGCUGAUGUCAACGUUGUGAACAGAGUGCCCCAUGGUGGAGGUGGGGUUAUGGUAUGGGCCCCAUGGUGGAGGUGGGGUUAUGGUAUGGGCCCCAUGGUGGAGGUGGGGUUAUGGUAUGGGCCCCAUGGUGGAGGUGGGGUUAUGGUAUGGGCCCCGUGGUGGAGGUGGGGUUAUGGUAUGGGCCCCAUGGUGGAGGUGGGGUUAUGGUAUGGGCCCCAUGGUGGCGGUGGGGUUAUGGUAUGGGCCCCAUGGUGGCGGUGGGGUUAUGGUAUGGGCCCCAUGGUGGAGGUGGGGUUUUGGUAUGGGCCCCAUGGUGGAGGUGGGGUUAUGGUAUGGGCCCCAUGGUGGAGGUGGGGUUAUGGUAUGGGCCCCAUGGUGGAGGUGGGGUUAUGGUAUGAGCCCCAUGGUGGCGGUGGGGUUAUGGUAUGGGCCCCAUGGUGGAGGUGGGGUUAUGGUAUGGGCCCCGUGGUGGAGGUGGGGUUAUGGUAUGGGCCCCAUGGUGGAGGUGGGGUUAUGGUAUGGGCCCCAUGGUGGCGGUGGGGUUAUG
This 661-nucleotide long non-coding RNA is filed under the name Salmo salar (Atlantic salmon). RNAcentral's name for it is "lncRNA (ENSSSAG00000095914.1)". Lineage: Eukaryota; Metazoa; Chordata; Actinopteri; Salmoniformes; Salmonidae. The record is from RNAcentral.